Molecule: ribosomal RNA, 253 nt
Filed under: uncultured bacterium
Lineage: Bacteria
Description: partial 16S ribosomal RNA
Rfam family: Bacterial small subunit ribosomal RNA
Source: RNAcentral
UACGAAGGGGGCUAGCGUUGCUCGGAAUUACUGGGCGUAAAGGGAGCGUAGGCGGAUAGUUUAGUCAGAGGUGAAAUCCCGGGGCUCAACCUCGGAACUGCCUUUGAUACUGGCUAUCUUGAGUAUGGGAGAGGUGUGUGGAACUCCGAGUGUAGAGGUGAAAUUCGUAGAUAUUCGGAAGAACACCAGUGGCGAAGGCGACACACUGGCCCAUUACUGACGCUGAGGCACGAAAGCGUGGGGAGCAAACAGG